Molecule: long non-coding RNA, 1008 nt
Filed under: Homo sapiens (human)
Lineage: Eukaryota; Metazoa; Chordata; Mammalia; Primates; Hominidae
Description: non-protein coding lnc-CDKN2C-1:2
Source: RNAcentral
CACCCGGAGGCAACUAAGGCCGCCCCCUGCCCAGAUGCCGGCCUGCCUCUCAGCUUGACUUCCCUCCCCGGACUUUGGAGUGUCUUCUGCGUUAGGAUUUGGAUCCCAGUGGCCCUGGAGCGGCAGAAGGGCCGCGGCGAUAGGAAAGCAGCGAAGGAGGCCAGUGGCCGGAGUCUGCCCCAGCCCCCACCCGCGGGUAACCUUGGAGGCGCCCUCGGAGCACAGACUGAGGAAUUGCGCUUGGCCUAAUAAGAAUGAUUCCCCUGGGGGAAAGAAACAGAAGAGCAUUUGACAACUACAUGGGCUGGCAUAAUGGAUUGGAAUUUAAAGGUGCUACAAAUGUGCCACCAGUUUAUCACAUGGGACAUUUUCUCACCGAGUGAAGCAGGAAGCUGGUGGGCCUAGGCCAGGAAGGCAGAGUGAAAUUUCAUGACGCUUAGAAGACAAAGAGCCUUGCUAAAAUUAAGUGAAUGGUCCUGCAACAAAUACACAACAGGUCUCCCUUCUUAAGAAAUCCACCAGAUUGUGAAACUGCAUGGGGAGAGAAGCACGAAAGGAUUAAGUUUAAAACUCCAAAGCACAGAAAAAUGCUGAGGAGACAGGGACUCACGAGGCUUUCAAUCAGAAGCCUGAAAUGGUCACACUUGAGCAUGUUGCUGGCUGGAAAGGCAGAGUAAAAUGUCUUGUGAUUUCAUGGUGUUCAAAUCUCUGAAGGACAGAUGACUCUCCAUUGGUAUUUCAGGCUUUCCCUACAGUAGGCAAGUACUUUGGACCUACCAGUCUUUCAACAAAAAGCUCAGAAGGGUCACCUCUAAGGAACAGGUAUAAAUCAGAGGUGAACUAAGUUUCAUUAAAACUAUACCUCAGCUCCAACCUAGCUCAAUUCCAGAUUGGAUGUGGUGAUUUUCACCUUACCACAUCUAGUUAACAAGGAAAAGUUUGCACCAUCUCUGGGGGAAAAUAGUAUCACCUGUACUUUCUACUAUACACAAUAUAUGCAUAUAGUUA